CACCGCGGUUAUACGAGAGACCCGAGUUGAUAACUACCGGCGUAAAGAGUGGUUAGGGAGCCUAUUAACUAAAGCCGAACGCCUCCUAAGCUGUUAUACGCACCUGGAAGUAUGAAGCCCCCUCACGAAAGUAGCUUUACCCCCCCCCCCCGAACCCACGAUAGCUAUGUCA
Molecule: ribosomal RNA, 172 nt
Filed under: Bathylychnops exilis (javelin spookfish)
Lineage: Eukaryota; Metazoa; Chordata; Actinopteri; Argentiniformes; Opisthoproctidae
Description: partial 12S rRNA
Source: RNAcentral